UAAUAAAAGUGUUUUAUGGCACUUUUAAAACAAUCCAUAUCCACCUUGUGUGCAAUUUUUUUCCCAUUUUCAACUCAUUUUUUUAAUUUAUUUUGUCUGAAAUAUAUUAUGAAUACUUAAUUCAAAAAUA
RNAcentral lists this unclassified non-coding RNA (130 nucleotides) under uncultured Mortierella. RNAcentral's name for it is "sequence contains ITS1". Lineage: Eukaryota; Fungi; Mortierellomycota; Mortierellomycetes; Mortierellales; Mortierellaceae. The record is from RNAcentral.